This 440-nucleotide ribosomal RNA is filed under the name uncultured bacterium. Its description in RNAcentral is "partial 16S ribosomal RNA". It matches the Rfam family "Bacterial small subunit ribosomal RNA", at positions 338 to 795 of the family's 1533-position model. The record is from RNAcentral.
CCUACGGGAGACAGCAGUGGGGGAUAUUGCACAAUGGGGGAAACCCUGAUGCAGCGACGCCGCGUGAGUGAAGAAGUAUUUCGGUAUGUAAAGCUCUAUCAGCAGGGAAGAAAAUGACAGUACCUGACCACGAAGCCCCGGCUAACUCCGUGCCAGCAGCCGCGGUAAUACGUAGGGGGCAAGCGUUAUCCGGAUUUACUGGGUGUAACGGGAGCGUAGACGGUUAUGUAAGUCUGGAGUGAAAGCCCGGGGCCCAACCCCGGGACUGCUUUGGAAACUGUGGAACUGGAGUACAGGAGGGGCAGGCGGAAUUCCUGGUGUAGCGGUGAAAUGCGUAGAUAUCAGGAGGAACACCGGCGGCGAAGGCGGCCUGCUGGACUGAAACUGACGUUGAGGCUCGAAAGCGUGGGUAGCAAACAGGAUUAGAUACCCCGGUAGUC